Macrosteles quadrilineatus (aster leafhopper) is the source of this 649-nucleotide long non-coding RNA. RefSeq lists it as uncharacterized. The transcript has 3 exons. NCBI's taxonomy places the organism in Eukaryota, Metazoa, Arthropoda, Insecta, Hemiptera, Cicadellidae. The record is from RefSeq and is a predicted model, not a curated record.
UCGCUUAUAUCACGAUGUACGCUCUAAAUCACAGAGGACACGCGUUUAAUUAAAGGGGGGUUGUCGCUAGACAAUAAGGACUGGACUUGAGUAAUGCACAGAGACCGUCGCUAGAAUCCGCAACAGCUGAAGUUGCGUCGCGACGCCCAGAAUAGACGUCGGUGAGGCAACGCUGAGCAUGAGCAGGUGGGCAGCGAGCAGUAGUCGUCCCGCCACCGCCGCGCCGCCGUCACGUGUGUACAGCCGUGUUGAGACGUGUUGGGACGUGUCGUGUCGUGUCGUGUCGUGUCGCGACGUGUCGUGGCGUGACGUGUUAGUGUUGUGAUCAUGGAUGAGUGUAAGAGUGGAUAGGAUACAAAAUAAUCACGAUGCUCAGCUGGUUUGGCGAGAGCGGGUUAGCAGAACCCGACUCUACUCGGGCCAAGGAUAUGACUGCCAUUAACUCGGGGCUACAUGAUGUGCCGGGAGUGAGGUUGCCACUACAGACCAGCUACGCCUCCGCCAGUCCUCAUGCCGCGGUGUUCAUGUACUCCUCGUCAGGGGCUGAGGGGAGUGUGACGUUGUAGCUGAGGGAUACUACAUAGUGACUGUUGUUACAGGGGCUACAUGAUGUGCCGGGAGUGAGGUUGCCACUACAGACCAGCUACGC